CUCUGGAUAUCAGUCUACCAUCUGACAGGUGUAGAGCCCUCUGUUGUAGUCUACCAUCUGACAGGUGUAGAGCCCUCUGGACAUCAGUCUACCAUCUGACAGGUGUAGAGGCCUCUGGACAUCAGUCUACCAUCUGACAGGUGUAGAACCCUCUGUUGUAGUCUACCAUCUGACAGGUGUAGAGCCCUCUGGACAUCAGUCUACCAUCUGACAGGUGUAGAGCCCUCUGCUGUAGACUACCAUCUGACAGGUGUAGAGCCCUCUGGACAUCAGUCUACCAUGUUAGAGGUGUAGAGCCCUCUGCUGUAGACUACCAUCUGACAGGUGUAGAGAAAAGUGGUCAGAUGAAUCAGAUGCUAAGCUACAGGACUGUUUUGCUA
Molecule: long non-coding RNA, 380 nt
Filed under: Salmo salar (Atlantic salmon)
Lineage: Eukaryota; Metazoa; Chordata; Actinopteri; Salmoniformes; Salmonidae
Description: lncRNA (ENSSSAG00000113471.1, ENSSSAG00000115414.1, ENSSSAG00020075679.1, ENSSSAG00075030380.1)
Source: RNAcentral